CCUACGGGCGGCAGCAGUCGAGAAUCUUUCACAAUGGGGGCAACCCUGAUGGUGCGACGCCGCGUGGGGGAAUGAAGGUCUUCGGAUUUUAAACCCCUGUCUUGUGGGAGCAAAUUAAAACGAUAGUACAACAAGAGGAAGAGACGGCUAACUCUGUGCCAGCAGCCGCGGUAAUACAGAGGUCUCAAGCGUUGUUCGGAAUCACUGGGCGUAAAGCGUGCGUAGGCUGUUUCGUAAGUCGUGUGUGAAAGGCGCGGGCUCAACCCGCGGACGGCACAUGAUACUGCGAGACUAGAGUAAUGGAGGGGGAACCGGAAUUCGCGGUGUAGCAGUGAAAUGCGUAGAUAUCGGGAGGAACACUCGUGGCGAAGGCGGGUUCCUGGACAUUAACUGACGCUGAGGCACGAAGGCCAGGGGAGCGAAAGGGAUUAGAUACCCUAGUAGUC
Molecule: ribosomal RNA, 446 nt
Filed under: uncultured bacterium
Lineage: Bacteria
Description: partial 16S ribosomal RNA
Rfam family: Bacterial small subunit ribosomal RNA
Source: RNAcentral